GAUGAAGAACGCAGCGAAAUGCGAUAAGUAAUGUGAAUUGCAGAAUUCAGUGAAUCAUCGAAUCUUUGAACGCACAUUGCGCCCCUUGGUAUUCCAUGGGGCAUGCCUGUUCGAGCGUCAUUUGUACCUUCAAGCUUUGCUUGGUGUUGGGUGUUUGUCCUGAGGGACUCGCCUUAAAGUAAUUGGCAGCCAGUGUUUGGUUUUGAAGCGCAGCACAAGUCGCGAUUCAAAGCUAUACGCCCGCUUCCACAAGCCUUUUUCACUUUUGACCUCGGAUCAGGUAGGGAUACCCGCUGAACUUAAGCAUAUCAUAAGCGGAGGA
Molecule: unclassified non-coding RNA, 322 nt
Filed under: soil metagenome
Description: partial contains 5.8S ribosomal RNA, internal transcribed spacer 2, and large subunit ribosomal RNA
Rfam family: 5.8S ribosomal RNA (bases 1-120)
Source: RNAcentral